CUGACCGUAAACGAUGCCAACUAGCGAUCCGCCGGUGGCCUCAGGCCCUGGUGGGGAGCUUCCCGGAAACGAAAGUCUUCCGGUUCCGGGGGAAGUAUGGUUGCAAAGCUGAAACUUAAAGGAAUUGACGGAAGGGCACCACCAGGAGUGGAGCCUGCGGCUUAAUUUGACUCAACACGGGAAAACUCACCCGGCCCGGACACCGUAAGGAUUGACAGAUUGAUAGCUUUUUCAUGAUUCGGUGGUUGGUGGUGCAUGGCCGUUCUUAGUUCGUGGAUCGAUUUGUCUGGUUUAUUCCGAUAACGAGCGAGACUCCAGCCUACUAAAUAGUGCGGACAUUGCCUCUGUGUUUGUCACUUCUUAGAGGGAUUGGCUGCGUCUAGCGGCACGAAACGGAGCAAUAACAGGUCUGUGAUGCCCUUAGAUGUCCGGGGCUGCACGCGCGCUACACUGGCAAAGGCAGCGUGCUUGUCCGUCUCCGAAAGGAGCCGGUAAACCCUUGAAAAUUUGCCGUGAUUGGGAUCGGAAAUGCAAUUAUUUCCGUGAACGAGGAAUUCCUAGUAAGUGCGAGUCAUCAGCUCGCGUUG
This 587-nucleotide ribosomal RNA is filed under the name Criconemoides myungsugae. RNAcentral's name for it is "SSU rRNA". It matches the Rfam family "Eukaryotic small subunit ribosomal RNA", at positions 1026 to 1643 of the family's 1831-position model. The record is from RNAcentral. Lineage: Eukaryota; Metazoa; Nematoda; Chromadorea; Rhabditida; Criconematidae.